GAAUUCGCCCUUAGAGUUUGAUCCUGGCUCAGGACGAACGCUGGCGGCGCGCCUAACACAUGCAAGUCGAACGGAGCUUAGAGAGCUUGCUUUUUAAGCUUAGUGGCGAACGGGUGAGUAACGCGUGAGUAACCUGCCCUAGAGUGGGGGACAACAGUUGGAAACGACUGCUAAUACCGCAUAAGCCCACGGUGCCGCAUGACACUGAGGGAAAAGGAUUUAUUCGCUUUAGGAUGGACUCGCGUCCAAUUAGCUAGUUGGUGAGGUAACGGCCCACCAAGGCGACGAUUGGUAGCCGGACUGAGAGGUUGAACGGCCACAUUGGGACUGAGACACGGCCCAGACUCCUACGGGAGGCAGCAGUGGGGGAUAUUGCACAAUGGGGGAAACCCUGAUGCAGCGACGCCGCGUGGAGGAAGAAGGUUUUCGGAUUGUAAACUCCUGUCGUUAGGGACGAUAAUGACGGUACCUAACAAGAAAGCACCGGCUAACUACGUGCCAGCAGCCGCGGUAAAACGUAGGGUGCAAGCGUUGUCCGGAAUUACUGGGUGUAAAGGGAGCGCAGGCGGGAAGACAAGUUGGAAGUGAAAACCAUGGGCUCAACCCAUGAAUUGCUUUCAAAACUGUUUUUCUUGAGUAGUGCAGAGGUAGAUGGAAUUCCCGGUGUAGCGGUGGAAUGCGUAGAUAUCGGGAGGAACACCAGUGGCGAAGGCGGUCUACUGGGCACCAACUGACGCUGAGGCUCGAAAGCAUGGGUAGCAAACAGGAUUAGAUACCCUGGUAGUCCAUGCCGUAAACGAUGAUUACUAGGUGUUGGGGGAUUGACCCCCUCAGUGCCGCAGUUAACACAAUAAGUAAUCCACCUGGGGAGUACGACCGCAAGGUUGAAACUCAAAGGAAUUGACGGGGGCCCGCACAAGCAGUGGAGUAUGUGGUUUAAUUCGAAGCAACGCGAAGAACCUUACCAGGUCUUGACAUCCGAUGCAUAGCACAGAGAUGUGUGAAAUCCUUCGGGACAUCGAGACAGGUGGUGCAUGGUUGUCGUCAGCUCGUGUCGUGAGAUGUUGGGUUAAGUCCCGCAACGAGCGCAACCCUUAUCUUCAGUUACUAACGCGUAGAGGUGAGGACUCUGAAGAGACUGCCGGGGACAACUCGGAGGAAGGUGGGGACGACGUCAAAUCAUCAUGCCCCUUAUGACCUGGGCUACACACGUGCUACAAUGGCCACGACAGAGAGAAGCGAAAUCGCAAGGUAGAGCGGAACUCAAAAAAGUGGUCCCAGUUCGGAUUGUGGGCUGCAACCCGCCCACAUGAAGUCGGAGUUGCUAGUAAUCGCGGAUCAGCAUGCCGCGGUGAAUACGUUCCCGGGCCUUGCACACACCGCCCGUCA
This 1389-nucleotide ribosomal RNA is filed under the name uncultured bacterium. RNAcentral's name for it is "bacterial SSU rRNA". It matches the Rfam family "Bacterial small subunit ribosomal RNA". The record is from RNAcentral.